UAAAUUCUUCGGGGCGGGGUGUGAUUCCCCACCGGCGGUUAUGCGGCCUUUGUGCCGAUAAGCCCGCGAGCGAUUUGUCAGUCGCAGGAUUCUGGUGAGAGCCCAGAGCCGACGGUAUAGUCCGGAUGGAAGAAGAUAUGG
Molecule: non-coding RNA, 141 nt
Filed under: Clostridiales bacterium
Lineage: Bacteria; Bacillati; Bacillota; Clostridia; Eubacteriales
Also listed under: 1 other name
Description: FMN
Rfam family: FMN riboswitch aptamer (RFN element)
About the family: The RFN element is a highly conserved domain that is found frequently in the 5'-untranslated regions of prokaryotic mRNAs that encode for flavin mononucleotide (FMN) biosynthesis and transport proteins. This element is a metabolite-dependent riboswitch that directly binds FMN in the absence of proteins.
Source: RNAcentral